GUCCACGCCGUAAACGAUGUCGACUUGGAGGUUGUGCCCUUGAGGCGUGGCUUCCGAUAACGCGUUAAGUCGACCGCACCGGGAGUACGGCCGCAAGGUUAAAACUCAAAUGGUGGGGGCCCGCACAAGCGGUGGAGCAUGUGGUUUAAUUCGAUGCAACGCGAAGAACCUUACCUACUCGACAUCCAGAGAACUUUCCAGAGAUGGAUUGGUGCCUUCGGGAACUCUGAGACAGGUGCUGCAUGGCUGUCGUCAGCUCGUGUUGUGAAAUGUUGGGUUAAGUCCCGCAACGAGCGCAACCCUUAUCCUUUGUUGCCAGCGGUUAGGCCGGGAACUCAAAGGAGACUGCCAGUGAUAAACUGGAGGAAGGUGGGGAUGACGUCAAGUCAUCAUGGCCCUUACGAGUAGGGCUACACGUGCUACAAUGGCGCAUACAAAGAGAAGCGACCUCGCGAGAGCAAGCGGACCUCAUAAAGUGCGUCGUAGUCCGGAUUGAGUCUGCAACUCGACUCCAUGAAGUCGGAAUCGCUAGUAAUCGUGGAUCAGAAUGCCACGGUGAAUACGUUCCGGGCCUUGUACACACCGCCCGUCACACCAUGGGAGUGGGUUGCAAAAGAAGUAGGUAGCUUAACCUUCGGGAGGGCGCUUACCACUUUGUGAUUCAUGACUGGGGUGAAGUCGUAACAAGGUAACCGUAGGGGAACCUGCGGUUGGAUCACCUCCUUACCUUAAAGAA
This 736-nucleotide ribosomal RNA is filed under the name Enterobacter cloacae. Its description in RNAcentral is "bacterial SSU rRNA". It matches the Rfam family "Bacterial small subunit ribosomal RNA", at positions 793 to 1533 of the family's 1533-position model. The record is from RNAcentral. Lineage: Bacteria; Pseudomonadati; Pseudomonadota; Gammaproteobacteria; Enterobacterales; Enterobacteriaceae.